This 589-nucleotide long non-coding RNA is filed under the name Citrus x clementina. Its description in RNAcentral is "Citrus clementina (C. clementina) long non-coding RNA (CCLE_LNC003106)". The record is from RNAcentral. Lineage: Eukaryota; Viridiplantae; Streptophyta; Magnoliopsida; Sapindales; Rutaceae.
AGUUUUGUAUAUUUAUCAUUUUUCUUAUCCUAAUAUAUCACAUUGUCACUAACAUUUUUCAGGGCGACUCUAUUUAUCAUUUUUGUAUUCCCUCAAAAUGCUCUAAACCCCCCACAUAUUAUAAACAAAAUUUUUAAAUGACUAGUCUAGAAUGAACUUGUACUGACGCACUACUGCAUGCUUGUAAAUUUGAAGGCAAAGGCUUAGUUACCGUAUCUGUAACUUGCGGCCAGCCAUUAUGAUCAGUUAGAUUUGAGAAUCUAAAGUCGAAUGGAUGAGAAACAAUAAAACGGAAACUAUUUACAGGCAUAUAUGUGUCAAAGGAUUUUUCAACAAUUAGUGGGCAACCGGAGGCAAUGGUUAGAUGCAUAAGAGCGAGUGACCGAUAAUGAAGAGAAAAAAUAAAAUUAGUGUAAGUAGAUUAAUUGUGAAUCAAUCACCCACAAAGUUUAUUCUCCUCGAAAUCAAGCACGAACUAGAAAGAGUGGGGCUCUCUAUUUUAAAGCCUCGUUCAGUCAAUAAUCAUAACACAUGAUUAAUUUUAUGACAUUUGGAAGAUUAAAGAGUUUAUAACUUGUACAAUUUACUA